RNAcentral lists this ribosomal RNA (1973 nucleotides) under Listeria monocytogenes. RNAcentral describes it as "partial 23S ribosomal RNA". It matches the Rfam family "Bacterial large subunit ribosomal RNA", at positions 957 to 2925 of the family's 2925-position model. The record is from RNAcentral. Lineage: Bacteria; Bacillati; Bacillota; Bacilli; Caryophanales; Listeriaceae.
CGAAUGCCAUGUACUUAUACUCGGGAGUCAGACUGCGAGUGAUAAGAUCCGUAGUCGAAAGGGAAACAGCCCAGACCACCAGUUAAGGUCCCCAAAUAUAUGUUAAGUGGAAAAGGAUGUGGGGUUGCUUAGACAACCAGGAUGUUGGCUUAGAAGCAGCCACCAUUGAAAGAGUGCGUAAUAGCUCACUGGUCGAGUGACCCCGCGCCGAAAAUGUACCGGGGCUAAACAUAUUACCGAAACUGUGGAUGAACCUCUUUAGAGGUUCGUGGUAGGAGAGCGUUCUAAGGGCGGUGAAGUCAGACCGGAAGGACUGGUGGAGCGCUUAGAAGUGAGAAUGCCGGUAUGAGUAGCGAAAGAAGGGUGAGAAUCCCUUCCACCGAAUAUCUAAGGUUUCCUGAGGAAGGCUCGUCCGCUCAGGGUUAGUCGGGACCUAAGCCGAGGCCGAUAGGCGUAGGCGAUGGACAACAGGUAGAGAUUCCUGUACCAGUGCUAAUUGUUUAACCGAUGGGGUGACACAGAAGGAUAGGGAAUCGCACGAAUGGAAAUGUGCGUCCAAGCAGUGAGUGUGAGAAGUAGGCAAAUCCGCUUCUCGCGAAGCAUGAGCUGUGAUGGGGAAGGAAAUUAAGUACGGAAGUUCCUGAUUUCACGCUGUCAAGAAAAGCCUCUAGGAAGAGUAGUACUGCCCGUACCGCAAACCGACACAGGUAGAUGAGGAGAGAAUCCUAAGGUGAGCGAGAGAACUCUCGUUAAGGAACUCGGCAAAAUGACCCCGUAACUUCGGGAGAAGGGGUGCUCUAUUAGGGUGCAAGCCCGAGAGAGCCGCAGUGAAUAGGCCCAGGCGACUGUUUAGCAAAAACACAGGUCUCUGCAAAACCGUAAGGUGACGUAUAGGGGCUGACGCCUGCCCGGUGCUGGAAGGUUAAGAGGAGUGCUUAGCUUCGGCGAAGGUACGAAUUGAAGCCCCAGUAAACGGCGGCCGUAACUAUAACGGUCCUAAGGUAGCGAAAUUCCUUGUCGGGUAAGUUCCGACCCGCACGAAAGGCGCAACGAUCUGGGCACUGUCUCAACGAGAGACUCGGUGAAAUUAUAGUACCUGUGAAGAUGCAGGUUACCCGCGACAGGACGGAAAGACCCCGUGGAGCUUUACUGCAACCUGAUAUGGAAUGUUUGUACCGCUUGUACAGGAUAGGUAGGAGCCGAAGAGACGUGUGCGCUAGCAUACGAGGAGGCAAUGGUGGGAUACUACCCUGGCUGUAUGACCAUUCUAACCCGCCACGCUUAGCGCGUGGGGAGACAGUGUCAGGUGGGCAGUUUGACUGGGGCGGUCGCCUCCUAAAGAGUAACGGAGGCGCCCAAAGGUUCCCUCAGAAUGGAUGGAAAUCAUUCGCAGAGUGUAAAGGCACAAGGGAGCUUGACUGCGAGACUGACAAGUCGAGCAGGGACGAAAGUCGGGCUUAGUGAUCCGGUGGUUCCGCAUGGAAGGGCCAUCGCUCAACGGAUAAAAGCUACCCCGGGGAUAACAGGCUUAUCUCCCCCAAGAGUCCACAUCGACGGGGAGGUUUGGCACCUCGAUGUCGGCUCGUCGCAUCCUGGGGCUGUAGUCGGUCCCAAGGGUUGGGCUGUUCGCCCAUUAAAGCGGCACGCGAGCUGGGUUCAGAACGUCGUGAGACAGUUCGGUCCCUAUCCGUCGCGGGCGCAGGAAAUUUGAGAGGAGCUGUCCUUAGUACGAGAGGACCGGGAUGGACACACCGCUGGUGUACCAGUUGUUCCGCCAGGAGCAUCGCUGGGUAGCUAUGUGUGGCAGGGAUAAACGCUGAAAGCAUCUAAGCGUGAAGCCCCCCUCAAGAUGAGAUUUCCCAUUUCUUCGGAAAGUAAGAUCCCUGAAAGAUGAUCAGGUAGAUAGGUUUGGAGUGGAAGUGUAGCGAUACAUGGAGCGGACAAAUACUAAUCGAUCGAGGACUUAACCAAAA